This 317-nucleotide long non-coding RNA is filed under the name Elaeis guineensis (African oil palm). RNAcentral's name for it is "long non-coding RNA (EGUI_LNC044263)". The record is from RNAcentral. Lineage: Eukaryota; Viridiplantae; Streptophyta; Magnoliopsida; Arecales; Arecaceae.
ACUGCUAGGAUACACCUGGCCUCUUAUUUAUUUAUAUUUUUCUAGUUCUCAUCCACCUAUUUCUGUGGGUGCUUCGGCCUCCUCUGCCAUCCAAUUGGUGAUCUUUUCUGUCAACCUCUUGAUGAUGAGCUUUAAUGGGACCUUUGCCUGUGAUUCCUUCUGUUGUUUUUUGACCAAGGGUCGCUUGGUGAAUGGCUUGGAUUGUCCAACAGGGAAGCAGGAAGGCUUUGUAGCAGUAAAGCCCGGGGAACAAAAUCUUUUGCAGUGUACUGUGCUUGUUACUCCCAUGGCAAGGUCCCCAGUCUCACCGAUGAUGA